GACUGGGGACUGCUCUAGUGGAUAAGGCAAACAAUGAAUGCAUCACAAUGACAAAACAGGUUUUUACCCUGAUUAAAAGAGCUAAGGUGCCUGGACUCUACUAUACUGUAGAAUUGCCAGACAGUAUCCAAUAUUCUUUUCUUGGGUAAGGUGGCAUGUGUGGUAGGCUUUGGUAUGCAGAUGCCAUGAUUGCAGAAAAGUAUAAUUUCUUUGCUACCAUAGCCUCCAUAUAAUAAGUGUUUCAAUGACAUCUUGCCCAUGUUCAGUUGGACAUGCUUCCAUCAAUGCUCUAAUCUCUGUCCUACUUGUUUCAUCAUCACUAGAUCCCUAGUAAACUCCAUUUUUGAGAGGGUACACUCAGGUACAAUCAUGACCAGCAUCUUUGCCAUUUCUCCAUUGAAGAUAUCAGCCAGGCCUUCAACAUGACUACCUGCCAAGAUAAGAGCAAAGUUUCCCAAAGCUAUUUUCUACAAGCAGUGGCAAACACAGAGUGUUAUGGUUGAGCCUUCUGGCUCCGGUACUAGGAGACGGGGUCGUAAGACUCCUCGAGAGUCAGACUCUUUUGAGGAGCGUGAAAGGAAACGGCUCCGGGACUUAUUUGCAAAACCAACAGAUGAAGAUUCAUUUGAGGGUUUUACCGAGGGAAUGGAGGAAGAGAUGGUUAGCUCAGAGGAGGAUGAUAUGGAGUGGACUCGUGUGAGGGAGGAUUUGGGGGUCACCGGCAAUGAUAACAUGGGAGGCGAUUGGCGGGUUGCAGGAUCAGACCCAUGGACGGGCUGGAGGGAUGGAGCGGGAUCCACAGCUGGGGAUGCUGUGGGGCGUAGUCAAAGGUGUUUUAGCUCUGAUGAGGAUGAUGAUGAUGAGGCACCUGGAAUUAGGAUAGCAGCUGACAGCGAUGAGGAGUUAUGAACUGGGAUAAAAUGGGGUUUAGGAUCAAUGGCUAAUUGCGUUGGGCAAGGUAAUCUGGACGAACGCUUGGGCUCUUGUUGGGGAACUUCCUGAAGACGGGUGUGAUUCGUUGCUGGAUACCUUGGACCUCCGUCGUCUUUUUGACGGACAUUAAUUACCUACUCUGGAUUGACGCUGGACUGACUGACUGACUACGACCUCGGACUAUCCUUUCUGUGGCUAUCGGUGGAACUUGUGGAACUUUAGACGUCUGCACUUGGCUUUCGACCUUGGACCGGAUUGGGACCCUGCUGACCGCUGUUACCCUGAUUGAUGUGCCUGGACCCGGAUUUCGCUCGUUGCACGGAGGAGUAAACAGCCUGAGUUACUCAUCUGUAGCUUUUGAGUAGCAGAGAGGAAUCUGCUGCCAGUUUUUUGUGUUCAUUUUGACCUCUGUUUACCAACUUUUGUUUGUUUAAAUUGCCAGGCUGAAGUAAGCACUUUUGAUUUAAUCCGGAUUAAACUCCUGUUUAAUCCGGUUUAUCCUUUCGAACCGUUUUAAUUCAAACGGAGCUGUUUCUGUUACUUUUCACACUGAAGACAAGUGUUUGCCUAGUCCUUUGCUUCCUACGGGCAUUUUUUAGUUCUGUAACUUCAAUAAACUGUGUUGUACUCUA
Molecule: long non-coding RNA, 1565 nt
Organism: Anolis carolinensis (green anole)
Lineage: Eukaryota; Metazoa; Chordata; Lepidosauria; Squamata; Anolidae
Exons: 2
Source: RefSeq, a predicted model, not a curated record